RNAcentral lists this long non-coding RNA (325 nucleotides) under Mustela putorius furo (domestic ferret). RNAcentral describes it as "lncRNA (ENSMPUG00000023857.1)". The record is from RNAcentral. Lineage: Eukaryota; Metazoa; Chordata; Mammalia; Carnivora; Mustelidae.
GUGAUCUACUUCUAAUGAAUAUACUAUGGCAAAAGUGAUGGGAAAGCGUUUUUGAGAUUAGGUUACAGAAGGUUAUGAUUUCUCUUCUGCUUGCUCUCUUGCCUCUCACUUGGUCACUCUGAUAAAGAGAGCCGCCAUCUUGUAAGCAGUCCUAGGAAGAGACCCACAGAGCAAGCAACUGGAAGUGGCUUCUGACCAGCACCCGGGGAAUAACUGAGGUGGUCAUCAGUCUAACAGUCUGCCAAUAGCCAUGUGGACUACCUCUGUGGAUUUAUGCCCUGGACAACCUCAGCAUGGACGAAGAACACCUUAUCCAGAAAUGAUG